This 490-nucleotide long non-coding RNA is filed under the name Homo sapiens (human). RNAcentral describes it as "HSALNT0401355". The record is from RNAcentral. Lineage: Eukaryota; Metazoa; Chordata; Mammalia; Primates; Hominidae.
AGCUGGAGACUUAGGGAGGAGACGUCUUGUUCUAGUUUCAGGGUCGUGGAGCUGCAGACUGAGGCAGGAGCAUUGUUGUUAUAGUUCGAGGGUCAGAAAGCUGGCGACCCAGGGAGGAGAGGUCUUGUACUAGUCUGAGGGUCGUGGAGCUGCAGACCCAGGGAGGGGCAAUGUUGUUGUAAUUCGAGGGUCUGGCAGCUGGCAACUCGGGGAGGAGAAGUCUUGUUGGAGUUUGAGGGUCGUGGAGCUGCCAACCCAGGGAGGAGCAAUUUUGUUGUAGUUCAAGGGUCCGGAAGCUGGCGACCCAGGGAGGAGAGGUCUUGAUCCGGUCUGAGGGUCGUGGAGCUACAGACCCAGGGUGGAGCAAUGUUGUUGUAGUUCGAGGGUCAGGAAGCUGGCGGCCCAGGGAGGAGAGGUCUUGUUCUAGUUUGAGGGUCGUGGAGCUGCAGACCCAGGGAGGAGCCAUGUUGGUUUGAAUGUUGUGGAUCUG